UGUAAUGAAAUGCAUGUAAAUGUAGAAGUAAAUGUAAUGAAUUCGAGUUUUGCAGUAAACAGAAGGCAGACUUGCUCUUCACAAAAGAAGAUAUCAUUAUAGAUCUCCUUUAAACCAAUAAAAGAUUGCUGAUUAAUCCAUCUCGGCUUAUGGACUUCAUCAACACAUCCUCGGGAUUGUCACUGCCUUUCUCCAGCCUCUCCUCUGGUGUGGCUGCUCUUUGGGGACAUACCAACAUGUAGGCGAUGAAAAUAGCCCCAAGCAACCCGUUUGGGCACAAGGAGCUCUGCUGCCACAUUGGCACGUCACUGGGGCUUAUACGACCUGCUUCUCAGGUUGGGAACCAGUAUGGAAAUCCACAGAAGUAGGUGAGCUCCAGUCCUACAAACCUGUUUUGGGCUGGGGAAGUCUGUCUAGACAGAGCACGAGGCAUUUGUAAGGCAAGGCUGGGUUCGGCACUGGUGGCUGAGCGACUGGGUUGGCUAUGAUCAGCUCAGGUUGGAGAUCUGCAAAGCCCCACUAUGGAGGCCAGCGCAGCCACACGUGAGGGUUGGAGCAGGAGAAAGCCAGGCCCAUGGGUGUGCAGAAAAAAGCAGAAGCCUGUCAGCCAGGCCACAGCAACCCCUCACACAGUGCACGUGGGUGCAGGCAUGAAGAGGCUGCAGAGGUGGCUGUGUAGGUUCAGCAGGAAUGCAGGAGGAGGCCCAGAACAAGUGGGGGGUGCUAGGGGAAGCCUGGGGGGGAUACAAGCACCCUAUGGCCUCAGCAUCACCCCAAGGCCUUGCUGGGUGUCACCCCUUGAACUCAACGCUUCAAGGAGCAGGAGGGCACAGGCUGGCAUGGCCACCACGGACUGCGUCAGGAGUGUUGGGUCCUGCUGUACCUCAGCUCUGAGGGGAACCGGGGGCAGUGAAGGGGGAUGCUGUGGAAGGAACAUUGAAAGGGGACAUCUGUGGUGGGACUGAGAUGGGAGACUGCGGGGGGGGUGACUUAUCAGGACUCAGAAGGCAAACGGGGGACUAAGGGGAGGCUAAUGCGGUGAGCGCCUGAGAGGGGACACUGUGGGGUGCUGAGGGAGAACCCUCGCAAGACUCAGUCUCCCCUCAGUCAGCGGGGGGAAAGGUGGAGACGGCGGGCAACCAAGCGGGAAGCCGACGAGAGGACUGAGGCGGGGGACACAGCGACAGUGGCGGCGCCGGAGGGACAUCCCCUUGCCCCUGAGCGGGGGGAUGGAACCACCCGGUCCCACCGCGCCCGGAGCCCUACGCGGAGCAACUGACGACGGCCUCGGCUCUUUCCGGCGCCGCUCGCGCCUUUCCGGCGUCGGCGUGGGCGGCGGGGGGCGUGCCCGGUGCGCGCUGACGCCAGGCGCAGGCCUCGCCCCCGCCCCGCCCCCAUGGUCUCU
Molecule: long non-coding RNA, 1405 nt
Filed under: Strigops habroptila (Kakapo)
Lineage: Eukaryota; Metazoa; Chordata; Aves; Psittaciformes; Psittacidae
Description: lncRNA (ENSSHBG00005003584.1)
Source: RNAcentral